AUGGUGCUGCUCGCGUUCACCCGAACGGCCGAAUUCCUCGCCAAGCUGCGGACCAAUGUCCCGAAGAAGGACCGGUCGACUUCACCACAGAGCUGUGGUCCAACGUCUGGGAGAAGGACAGCACGGCUGUCCUCUGGCUCCAUCGGCGGCCUAGGCGCCGCCAAAAAGUGGGUUUCGCUCGCCCUCGCAUUCCAGCUCCGGCUCGGUGAUCACGGUGCUGGGAAGGCAGCAGACGAAGCCGGGAGAGAUGGGUCAACGCCGACCAGACAUGAAGCAAGUCCUGCCUCCGGGGUUGACUUGCUCCUCUUCGCGCAUGAUCUACUGAAGCAACAACAAGGAUGUUCUUCGUGUGGCUGCUUGCUCACUUCUGCACAUAUUCAAUCACGCCACAGAAGAACGGAGAGGCUAGCAGCUCCGCUGAGUGCCAUUUCAACAGGCCAUGUGUCUCCUCUGUCUCAGCGUGUAGUUGGAGUGCAUGAAGAUCACAUUGUCGUUGCUUCUUCUUGUGUCAAACUUCCACCAAGAACAUUAAGCCUCACAUGA
Molecule: ribosomal RNA, 543 nt
Filed under: Triticum aestivum (bread wheat)
Lineage: Eukaryota; Viridiplantae; Streptophyta; Magnoliopsida; Poales; Poaceae
Description: partial small subunit ribosomal RNA
Source: RNAcentral